UGCGCCCUGCGGUGUUCGAUUAGGCCAUACAUUCCUUGAACCAAUAAUGUGACUCAGGCCACGGCGAUUCGCGUACCGCUGUUGUGAUCGUCCCUCGUCGGAUGAACCUGAUGCGGUGCCUGCUGUGGCCGACCUGAACUUCACGGUUCAGGAUGCUGGUCUGCCGGCACAGGCGGGGCCCCU
Molecule: non-coding RNA, 183 nt
Filed under: Betaproteobacteria bacterium
Lineage: Bacteria; Pseudomonadati; Pseudomonadota; Betaproteobacteria
Also listed under: 1 other name
Description: 6S RNA
Rfam family: 6S / SsrS RNA
About the family: E. coli 6S RNA was the first non coding RNA to be sequenced, but its function was unknown until recently. It consists of 184 nucleotides that fold into an extended hairpin structure with a large single-stranded internal bulge.
Source: RNAcentral